GAUGAACGCUCGCGGCAGGCCUAACACAUGCAAGUCGAGGGAGAAGCCCUUUCGGGGGCAGAAACCGGCGCACGGGUGCGUAACGCGUAUGCAACCUACCUUUCACAGGGGGAUAGCCCGAAGAAAUUUGGAUUAAUACCCCAUAAUUUUAUUGGAUGGCAUCAUUUGAUAAUUAAAACUGCGGUGGUGAAAGAUGGGCAUGCGUCCUAUUAGCUAGUUGGAGUGGUAACGGCACCCCAAGGCUACGAUAGGUAGGGGUCCUGAGAGGGAGAUCCCCCACACUGGUACUGAGACAGGGACCAGACUCCUACGGGAGGCAGCAGUGAGGAAUAUUGGUCAAUGGUCGGAAGACUGAACCAGCCAUGCCGCGUGCAGGAAGAAUGCCUUAUGGGUUGUAAACUGCUUUUAUAGGGGAAGAAUAAGGCGUACGUGUACGUUGAUGACGGUACCAUAUGAAUAAGCAUCGGCUAACUCCGUG
Molecule: ribosomal RNA, 478 nt
Filed under: uncultured bacterium
Lineage: Bacteria
Description: partial 16S ribosomal RNA
Rfam family: Bacterial small subunit ribosomal RNA
Source: RNAcentral